CCUACGGGUGGCAGCAGUGGGGAAUAUUGCACAAUGGGGGAAACCCUGAUGCAGCGACGCCGCGUGAGUGAAGAAGUAUUUCGUUAUGUAAAGCUCUAUCAGCAGGGAAGAAAAUGACGUUACCUGAGUAAGAAGCCCCGGCUAACGACGUGCAAGCAGCCGCGGUAUUACGUAGGGGGAAGGCGUUAUCCGGUUUUACUGGGUGUAAAGGGAGCGUAGACGGCAGUGCAAGUCUGGAGUGAAAGCCGGGGGCUCAACCCCCGGACUGCACUUGAGACUGUACGGCUGGAGUGCAGGAGAGGUAAGUGGAAUUCCUAGUGUAGCGGUGAAAUGCGUAGAUAUUAGGAGGAACACCAGUGGCGAAGGCGGCUUACUGGACUGUAACUGACGUUGAGGCUCGAAAGCGUGGGGAGCAAACAGGAUUAGAUACCCUAGUAGUC
This 440-nucleotide ribosomal RNA is filed under the name uncultured bacterium. RNAcentral describes it as "partial 16S ribosomal RNA". It matches the Rfam family "Bacterial small subunit ribosomal RNA", at positions 338 to 795 of the family's 1533-position model. The record is from RNAcentral.